Molecule: transfer RNA, 75 nt
Filed under: Pseudomonas aeruginosa
Lineage: Bacteria; Pseudomonadati; Pseudomonadota; Gammaproteobacteria; Pseudomonadales; Pseudomonadaceae
Description: tRNA-Gln
Rfam family: tRNA
About the family: Transfer RNA (tRNA) molecules are approximately 80 nucleotides in length. Their secondary structure includes four short double-helical elements and three loops (D, anti-codon, and T loops).
Source: RNAcentral
AGGGGCGGCGCCAAGCGGUAAGGCAGCAGGUUUUGAUCCUGCCAUGCGUUGGUUCGAAUCCAGCCGCCCCUGCCA